Long non-coding RNA from Oncorhynchus keta (chum salmon), 525 nucleotides. RefSeq lists it as uncharacterized. Lineage: Eukaryota; Metazoa; Chordata; Actinopteri; Salmoniformes; Salmonidae. The transcript is spliced from 5 exons. The record is from RefSeq and is a predicted model, not a curated record.
UCAGGAGGAGGAGGUACUGCCUGAACGUCAGGAGGAGGAGGUAGAGCCUGAACGUCAGGAGGAGGAAGUACUGCCUGAACGUCAGGAGGAGGAGGUACUGCCUGAACGUCAGGAGGAGGAGGUACUGCCUGAACGUCAGGAGGAGGAGGUAGAGCCUGAACGUCAGGAGGAGGAGGUAGAGCCUGAACGUCAGGAGGAGGAGGUACUGCCUGAACGUCAGGAGGAGGAGGUAGAGCCUGAACGUCAGGAGGAGGAAGUACUGCCUGAACGUCAGGAGGAGGAGGUACUGCCUGAACGUCAGGAGGAGGAGGUACUGCCUGAACGUCAGGAGGAGGAGGUACUGCCUGAACGUCAGGAGGAGGAGGUACUGCCUGAACGUCAGGAGGAGGAGGUACUGCCUGAACGUCAGGAGGAGGAGGUAGAGCCUGAACGUCAGGAGGAGGAAGUACUGCCUGAACGUCAGGAGGAGGAGGUACUGCCUGAACGUCAGGAGGAGGAGGUACUGCCUGAACGUCAGGAGGAGGA